UACGGGGGGGGCAAGCGUUGUCCGGAAUUAUUGGGCGUAAAGAGCUCGUAGGUGGUUUGUCGCGUUGUUCGUGAAAACUCACAGCUUAACUGUGGGCGUGCGGGCGAUACGGGCAGACUGGAGUACUGCAGGGGAGACUGGAAUUCCUGGUGUAGCGGUGGAAUGCGCAGAUAUCAGGAGGAACACCGGUGGCGAAGGCGGGUCUCUGGGCAGUAACUGACGCUGAGGAGCGAAAGCGUGGGGAGCGAACAGG
This 253-nucleotide ribosomal RNA is filed under the name uncultured bacterium. RNAcentral's name for it is "partial 16S ribosomal RNA". It matches the Rfam family "Bacterial small subunit ribosomal RNA", at positions 524 to 776 of the family's 1533-position model. The record is from RNAcentral.